CACUGCCGAGAAAAGCCUCUAGAUAGAAAAUAGGUGCCCGUACCGCAAACCGACACAGGUAGUCAAGAUGAGAAUUCUAAGGUGAGCGAGCGAACUCUCGUUAAGGAACUCGGCAAAAUGACCCCGUAACUUCGGGAGAAGGGGUGCUCUUUAGGGUUAACGCCCAGAAGAGCCGCAGUGAAUAGGCCCAAGCGACUGUUUAUCAAAAACACAGGUCUCUGCUAAACCGUAAGGUGAUGUAUAGGGGCUGACGCCUGCCCGGUGCUGGAAGGUUAAGAGGAGUGGUUAGCUUCUGCGAAGCUACGAAUCGAAGCCCCAGUAAACGGCGGCCGUAACUAUAACGGUCCUAAGGUAGCGAAAUUCCUUGUCGGGUAAGUUCCGACCCGCACGAAAGGCGUAACGAUUUGGGCACUGUCUCAACGAGAGACUCGGUGAAAUCAUAGUACCUGUGAAGAUGCAGGUUACCCGCGACAGGACGGAAAGACCCCGUGGAGCUUUACUGUAGCCUGAUAUUGAAAUUCGGCACAGCUUGUACAGGAUAGGUAGGAGCCUUUGAAACGUGAGCGCUAGCUUACGUGGAGGCGCUGGUGGGAUACUACCCUAGCUGUGUUGGCUUUCUAACCCGCACCACUUAUCGUGGUGGGAGACAGUGUCAGGCGGGCAGUUUGACUGGGGCGGUCGCCUCCUAAAAGGUAACGGAGGCGCUCAAAGGUUCCCUCAGAAUGGUUGGAAAUCAUUCAUAGAGUGUAAAGGCAUAAGGGAGCUUGACUGCGAGACCUACAAGUCGAGCAGGGUCGAAAGACGGACUUAGUGAUCCGGUGGUUCCGCAUGGAAGGGCCAUCGCUCAACGGAUAAAAGCUACCCCGGGGAUAACAGGCUUAUCUCCCCCAAGAGUUCACAUCGACGGGGAGGUUUGGCACCUCGAUGUCGGCUCAUCGCAUCCUGGGGCUGUAGUCGGUCCCAAGGGUUGGGCUGUUCGCCCAUUAAAGCGGUACGCGAGCUGGGUUCAGAACGUCGUGAGACAGUUCGGUCCCUAUCCGUCGUGGGCGUAGGAAAUUUGAGAGGAGCUGUCCUUAGUACGAGAGGACCGGGAUGGACAUACCUCUGGUGUACCAGUUGUCGUGCCAACGGCAUAGCUGGGUAGCUAUGUGUGGACGGGAUAAGUGCUGAAAGCAUCUAAGCAUGAAGCCCCCCUCAAGAUGAGAUUUCCCAACUUCGGUUAUAAGAUCCCUCAAAGAUGAUGAGGUUAAUAGGUUCGAGGUGGAAGCAUGGUGACAUGUGGAGCUGACGAAUACUAAUCGAUCGAAGACUUAAU
This 1315-nucleotide ribosomal RNA is filed under the name Staphylococcus aureus. RNAcentral describes it as "partial 23S ribosomal RNA". It matches the Rfam family "Bacterial large subunit ribosomal RNA", at positions 1603 to 2925 of the family's 2925-position model. Lineage: Bacteria; Bacillati; Bacillota; Bacilli; Caryophanales; Staphylococcaceae. The record is from RNAcentral.